RNAcentral lists this long non-coding RNA (727 nucleotides) under Homo sapiens (human). Its description in RNAcentral is "HSALNT0126983". The record is from RNAcentral. Lineage: Eukaryota; Metazoa; Chordata; Mammalia; Primates; Hominidae.
CUCAGGAGCAGUUCUCUGAUCUCAUCUGCAAACUCUUUUGAUACUUUGGGAUAGAAUUUGUAUUAACAGAAGUUUUGAAGUCAUUCAGAAUGCCACAUGACCAACGUGGGGUCACCAAUUGGAACAGGGAAGAGAUGUGCACAAUGGCCCUCUCUCCAGCUUGUGUGAGCCGGCUCCAACACACAUCCUGUGGAGCGAGAGUUUGGUUGAAAUUUUUAAAAAAUGAAAUAGAACCACAAAGAAAAUAUCAGAACACAUUGCACUUAGUAAAGAUGGAGUCUCGCUAUGUUGCCCAGGCUGGACUUGAACUCCUGUACUCAAGCCAUCCUCCCGCCCCUGCCUCUUGAAGUGCUGGGAUUACAGGUAUGAGCCUAGUUUGACUUCUUAAAUGUAAAUUGAUAUUCAGGAGUUGCCUCUGGCCAAAUCCUUUUCUCAUUAUCUGGUGUAUCAUUUUGGAAUUCCUUUGGCUUAUUGUUCUCUAUGGUUCUGGAGUGAAGUCUAUGGAAAGCCUUAAACAUUUUGGGCUCUGUCACUUGUGUUCCUACGUAUUUACAGGAGAAAAAAAAGUGACCUUUUUAUAGAACAUAGUAAAGUUAUUCUCCUACUUAGAAGCAGGCUUUAUUCUGGAAGUCUGUAUAUAAGUUGUUUAGGGCUCAGAAUACAUCAUCUCCUUGAUGUCCAGUCUGAAUAACAAAGUUCUCAAACCUUAGCAUGUAGAAGAAUCAUU